AUAGAAGUGAUGAUUAUUUCCCCAGAUGAUCGACGUUGAACAAACUGAGCAUUUUUAUUUCUCUUUUUCUUUAUUAGAAGAGAAUUUAAGCCAGGAAACUAAUCCAU
Non-coding RNA from Ricinus communis (castor bean), 107 nucleotides. Lineage: Eukaryota; Viridiplantae; Streptophyta; Magnoliopsida; Malpighiales; Euphorbiaceae. The record is from Rfam.